This 468-nucleotide ribosomal RNA is filed under the name uncultured bacterium. Its description in RNAcentral is "partial 16S ribosomal RNA". It matches the Rfam family "Bacterial small subunit ribosomal RNA", at positions 28 to 507 of the family's 1533-position model. The record is from RNAcentral.
GAUGAACGCUGGCGGCGUGCUUAACACAUGCAAGUCGAACGGAAAGGCGCUGCUCUUGUGGGGUGCUCGAUUGGCGAACGGGUGAGUAUCACGCGUGUAUCCCGUCCUUGACUGUGGGAUAACUUCUGGAAACUGGGGCGAAUAUCGGAGAGGAUCUUUUGCAGCAUGGUGGUGGUUGGAGAGAUUCGGCGGUUGGGGAUGGACUCGCGGCUUAUCAGCUGGUUUGGGGAGUAGUGACUUACCAAGGCUGUGACGGGUAGCCGGCCUGGGAGGUUGACCGGCCUCAUUGGGCCUGAGAUACGCAGCAGACUCCUACGUGAGGCAGUAGUGGGGAGUAUUACAGAGUAGGCGGAAGCCUGAUACAGCAGCGCCGCGUGCGGGAUACCGGCCUUCGGGUGGUAAACAGCUUUCGACUGUGCCGAAGAGUGAGUGACGGUACUGAGUAAAGAAGCAACGGCUAACUACGUG